Long non-coding RNA from Diorhabda carinulata, 3078 nucleotides. RefSeq lists it as uncharacterized. The record is from RefSeq and is a predicted model, not a curated record. The transcript has 2 exons. NCBI's taxonomy places the organism in Eukaryota, Metazoa, Arthropoda, Insecta, Coleoptera, Chrysomelidae.
UUUGCUGCCUUAUUGAGGUGUCCUACUAUUAAUCUAUUGUAGACAUGGAUGGCCCACACAGUAGCCGUGGCAGCAUAUUGCCCCCCCAAUUAGUCUUAUCUUAUAGCUCACAGUCGUGAAUUGCAAAAUAUAGUUCAGGGCCAAGUGAAUUGCGAUACAAAGGAUCUUGUGUCCUCAAUAUUUAUAGCGGAUCUACUUAUUCCACUCGACUUGAAAAGUUCACAACGUGGGAUAAUUCCAGCUGCCAGAUGGAUCCAUUUAACUACAUGUAGGGCUAAUGUCACAACCUAUGGUAAAACUGGAGAGUAAACUCUAGUUUAUACCAAUAAUAAACAAGAUUGCUAUAUUUUACAGGUAACAGUUUAAGAAGACAGUUUUCUGCCAGUUGUCACUAACAUGGAAAUAUAUCUAAAAUUUUUCCUGUAUUUAUUUUAAAGUUGAAUUGAUAAAGAAAGUUGUAUAAAGUAAAAUGAACAAAGAACAAUUUGCAGUUGCAAUUUCUCUGACAAUGAAGUAGUGCUUUUGGUUAACCUUGAAGCAACACAAAGAAAUGUUUUCGAUAAAAGCAAAACAAAUAUAAAAAAUAAAUGGGACAAUUUAAAAAUUUGCUCUAGGACAAAUAACUUUUUGUUUUCUCAGCGCGUCGACAAUAUUGAUAAUUUCUUCCUCUUCUUCAAAUUCAAAGUACAAAUUUUCAAUCAUUUUACCAAAACCCUUUUUAAUUUCGUAAAAAUGUCAACAAUUUGAAAAAGUUAGGUUCGAACAUUCCGUCCCAUAUUAAACUGAAGUUUAAACUACCUCCUGACCGUCGGUAACGUUUAAAGUUUGUCGGUAAACGCGUAAAAAACUGUAUUUGUGGUUUAAAGUGACUUUCGAGGUUUAAACUUCACUUGUAAAAUUGGGCCUUAAAUGAAUUCACGGAUAUAAAUCCAAAUUGAGCAGGAUCAGUGUAUUUUUAUUUUCAUUUAUUAGAAAUAUUUACAAUGAAAAAUGUUAUCACUGCAAGAUGUAACUAUAGUGGCAGAUUUUCUUGCAACUAAUAAUGAUUUCUGGGCUGCUGGAUUUAGAAUCGUUGAAAUUUCUAUGCCAGUAUAUACCGUUACAUACAAAUAUACAUUCAGAAUACAAAGCAAUUUAUACGAAUCAAAUUACCCGAUAUUUCUAGCGUAUAUAGCGUAAAGAAGAAACUGUAAUGGAAGAACUAGAAGAAAACAAAAAACCACAGUACUUGAAUGACUAUGUUGAUGAACAUGAAAUAGAUCAUUUAGCAAUGAAUGCUGAAGUUUAUGUAGAUAAUCUACCAAGAAGUUUUGAUGAAGUACAGGGUAGGUCAGAUUUCAAGUUUUGGAAACAAGCUAUAGACGUUUAAACAGGGUACCAGACGUGAACUGAGCCCUUUUUGUACCCCAUUCGUCUACUAAAACUCCGGUAGUCUUUUAUCUGACGCAAAUAAUCUUGUCCCCAUCGAACCAUCCUUGACGAUUCGGUUAUUGCCAUCCGUUUAAUCAGUUUUUUGUGUUUAAAACCACAUGCUGUCAAAACUUGACGCAUUAUUUCUAAACUGGUAUAAUUAUAUUCUGGAUAAUCUGCUACCUUUUGCUGUAUUAUUUCUAAUGUCGCAACCCUCCUUAUAUAAACUAUUAAUUAUCCUACGUAUAAAAUCUUGAGUAGCUUUGUCAACUGAUUGAGAGGAAAUCACUGAAAAUUCAAUUUUUUUUUCAUGUUCGAGGCGUCAAAUGACGGAUUGGGAAGGCCAGUUUCUGUGUCAGUCUCCGAAAAUAUCGAUGCAGUUCAUGACAUGACUUUAUCAGGCGUCGAAUUGGGUUAAAACGGAUAUCUGAGACACUGAAUAUUUUAUACGAACGGGUUCAUAUUAUAGUUGACGUCAAUUUGGACAUGAGAAAAAUUGUUGCAAAAUGGAAGCAACAAUCGAUGGAAUGGCGACACUCAGGUUCUCCAAAACCUAAGAAGUUUCGUGUCCAAAAAUCUGCUGGAAAAGUUCUUGCUUCAAUUUUUUGGGAUUGAUUGAAUCAUGAUUUUUUGGAUAAGGGUAGAACAAUAACUGGAGAUUACUAUUCGACAAUACUGACCACUCUACGAGAAAAAAUUAAAGAGAGAAGAUGCGGAAAGGCAGAACAACGCCCCUUGCAAACAAAUCUCAUGUUGCCAUGCAAAAAUUCGUGAUUUGAAUGAAGAAACAUUUUUUUUAAAGGUCUAGAGACGUUGCAGGUUCGCUGUAAUAAAUGCAUCCAAUUAAGAGGAGAAUAUGUUGAGUAAUAAAAUAUUUUGACAUUGAAAUUUUGUUUAAUUCUAUAAUAGGCUAAGAAUUUUUCAAUAUAUCCUCGUAAUUGUAAUAAAAACACUUAUUUAAGAGGGCAAUUCAAACAGUAAGCAGACAAAACCGUUAAGAAAAUAUAUAAAACAAAUUAGUUAUUUAUUGUUUUUCUGUCAUAUCUCAAAAACAACUUUUUUAGACAGUUACAAUGAUUUGUUUGAAGAGUUAUAAGGUUAGGUUUUGAGAAGGUAGGAAAUUGAGGCUAGGUGGAAAUGCUUGGAAACGGUUCAUGGGUUAGCAGUGAAGAAAUUCAAGAACAAAUGAUGUAAAGAAUAUACCUUGAGUUAAUUACUGAGGAUAAAACUGUGAGUUAUAAUUUUCCUAUAAUUACGUUGUCUGAAAAGUUUCCUACCUAACAAUGAAACAAGACAUCAUUUUUAUUAUUAACAUAGUUUCCUUUCAAAUUCAUACAAGUCCUGCGAUUUUCUAACCAUUUGAACCGUUCCACAUAAUAGUUACUUCUUUUCUCCCCAAAUUAGUCGUUUCUGUAUGUGAUAACGUCCUCAUUUGAUGAGAAUUUUUCUCCUGUAAAUGGAACUUUAAGUUUAAUAGCGGGCAGAAGUCGCUGGGUGUCACAUCUGGUGAAUACUGUGUUAACCAAUUCAAGCUGCAAUGCUAUCACCGAAGUAUGAGAAGGUACGUGGUCCUGAGAGAAAGCACUUUUUUCUUCUUCAAAUACUGAUACAUUAUAUAUUAUAAAAUAACAGUUCAAGUUUAUAAAUAAAAUUCAAGACAUUUUCAGA